GACGAACGCUGGCGGCGUGCUUAACACAUGCAAGUCGAACGGAAAGGCCCUGCUUUUGUGGGGUGCUCGAGUGGCGAACGGGUGAGUAACACGUGAGUAACCUGCCCUUGACUUUGGGAUAACUUCGGGAAACUGGGGCUAAUACCGGAUAGGAGCUCCUGCUGCAUGGUGGGGGUUGGAAAGUUUCGGCGGUUGGGGAUGGACUCGCGGCUUAUCAGCUUGUUGGUGGGGUAGUGGCUUACCAAGGCUUUGACGGGUAGCCGGCCUGAGAGGGUGACCGGCCACAUUGGGACUGAGAUACGGCCCAGACUCCUACGGGAGGCAGCAGUGGGGAAUAUUGCACAAUGGGCGGAAGCCUGAUGCAGCAACGCCGCGUGCGGGAUGACGGCCUUCGGGUUGUAAACCGCUUUCGCCUGUGACGAAGCGUGAGUGACGGUAAUGGGUAAAGAAGCACCGGCUAACUACGUGCCAGCAGCCGCGGUGAUACGUAGGGUGCGAGCGUUGUCCGGAUUUAUUGGGCGUAAAGGGCUCGUAGGUGGUUGAUCGCGUCGGAAGUGUAAUCUUGGGGCUUAACCCUGAGCGUGCUUUCGAUACGGGUUGACUUGAGGAAGGUAGGGGAGAAUGGAAUUCCUGGUGGAGCGGUGGAAUGCGCAGAUAUCAGGAGGAACGCCAGUGGCGAAGGCGGUUCUCUGGGCCUUUCCUGACGCUGAGGAGCGAAAGCGUGGGGAGCGAACAGGCUUAGAUACCCUGGUAGUCCACGCUGUAAACGGUGGGUACUAGGUGUGGGGUCCAUUCCACGGGUUCCGUGCCGUAGCUAACGCUUUAAGUACCCCGCCUGGGGAGUACGGCCGCAAGGCUAAAACUCAAAGGAAUUGACGGGGCCCCGCACAAGCGGCGGAGCAUGCGGAUUAAUUCGAUGCAACGCGUAGAACCUUACCUGGGUUUGACAUGGAUCGGGAGUGCUCAGAGAUGGGUGUGCCUCUUUUGGGGUCGGUUCACAGGUGGUGCAUGGCUGUCGUCAGCUCGUGUCGUGAGAUGUUGGGUUAAGUCCCGCAACGAGCGCAACCCUUGUUCACUGUUGCCAGCACGUUAUGGUGGGGACUCAGUGGAGACCGCCGGGGUCAACUCGGAGGAAGGUGGGGAUGACGUCAAGUCAUCAUGCCCCUUAUGUCCAGGGCUUCACGCAUGCUACAAUGGCUGGUACAGAGAGUGGCGAGCCUGUGAGGGUGAGCGAAUCUCGGAAAGCCGGUCUCAGUUCGGAUUGGGGUCUGCAACUCGACCUCAUGAAGUCGGAGUCGCUAGUAAUCGCAGAUCAGCAACGCUGCGGUGAAUACGUUCCCGGG
This 1343-nucleotide ribosomal RNA is filed under the name uncultured bacterium. RNAcentral describes it as "16S ribosomal RNA". It matches the Rfam family "Bacterial small subunit ribosomal RNA", at positions 28 to 1378 of the family's 1533-position model. The record is from RNAcentral.